GUUCGCAAGGCAGAAAUGAUGCUCGCGUCUGUACUGUGGACAGCUGUUCUAUUUACUCUUGUAAAAGCCACCAUCCUGGACAGCGGUCCAACUGAAGCACCAGACGUGGAGAGCGGCUCGGGGAUGCUGCUGACAGAUCUGAAAGCUUCAAUGGCUUCCCGCAUCCAGGCUGGAAAAAAAAAUCUCAGGCAUCCAAGGAAAACACCCGCCUCGAGUUAGGAGUAGUGCCUGUCUGCUGGCUGGCUCACAAGAGCAGGCUUGCUGCAGAUUUGGACAUAAUAGUGCUCUUGGCACUGUUUUGCCUGGAGGGAAACCUUAAAACUAUCAAGAUAUUGUAAUUUACCUUUAAAAAAAAUGGUGGGUAUCUGAGACUAGAAUAGCAGCCCCAACAUCGCUGCUUAUGUUCCGUACUGAAACAUAUGCCAGAUGAUGUCAUACUGUUCAUGGGUACUUAAACACACUCAUGUAUUGGACUAUUCAGCCGACAAUACAACCUGUUUCUACUGGCACACACUGGGGACCAUUGACCUGUGGGCACUAUGAAUGACAUCACCACAAACCAAUCUGGGAAAAUAAAUAACCCGUUGGAACAUAUGGGCCAAAUAUGGCACACACACAUUGCUGUUUAAAGAACCUUUGAUUAUAAUAUCUGUGCAGAACCAGUGGUGGAUUUAAUUAGCUUGCGUUAACUUAUAAGGUGAAUAUGUUAAUGGAAUGGUUUGGUUUGGCAUGCUGGUAUGCUGUAGUGUGUAGCGGACAGUAAUCUUUAGCCUUGACUGACACAAUGCUAAGUAUGAUGUUUGUAGUUGCCUCUAAUUAUGUUGAGAGAUUUUUUUUUUUAGAUUCACG
This 849-nucleotide long non-coding RNA is filed under the name Sinocyclocheilus grahami. RNAcentral describes it as "lncRNA (ENSSGRG00000022168.1)". The record is from RNAcentral. Lineage: Eukaryota; Metazoa; Chordata; Actinopteri; Cypriniformes; Cyprinidae.